AAGUAUAUGAGCCAUUCCAAUGUUUAUUUUUUAUUUUUAUUUUUUUUUUUUUGUUGUCGUAAAAUACAAUAAAUAUUAAUCACUGUAACAUGGGUCAAACGAAUGGAAAAAACCGCCUGAUUAUUCAUGGAACAAAUGAAUGGUUAAUAGAUAAAAAAAAAGAUAUAUCUUUGUUAAACAUAAAAUCUGAUAAACGCAUUAAAAAUGUAUAUAAUGGUCCAAACAAUAUAAUAGUUAUAUAUGAAAAUGAUGAUUUUGAAAUAGCCGGGUUAAAUGCUCAUGGUGAAUUGGGUUUAGGUGAUAAAAUAAGUAGAAAUAAAUUAACGAUAAAUUCUAUACUUUCUAAACAAAAAGUUUUAAAAAUUGCAUGUGGAAAUAAACAUAUAAUCGUUUUAAUGUUAAAUAAUAAUAUAUUUGGUUGGGGUGAUAAUACAAAUGGUCAGUUAGGUAUAGGAUAUAGUACUAAAGAAAUAUUAUCUCCUUUACUUAUUUAUUUUAAUGAUAAGGUUGUUGAUAUUGCAUGUGGUUAUGACCAUUCUUUAUUUUUAACAGAGUGUGAAUAUAAAAAUGAGGGGAUUAGUGACAGUAGUGGAGGGAGUAGUGGAAGUAGUAUUGACAGUAGUAACGAUAGUAGUAAUGACAGUAGUAAUGACAGUAGUAAUGACAGUAAUAGGGAUGACUCAAAGGAUGUUAUAAAAGAACAUAAAAUAAACACCUCGGUUGUAAAGGGGACUACAAAAAAAAACUACUUAAACACAGUUGACAUAAAUGUAAAUGAUGGGAUGAAUAAGAAACAAAAAGAAGAAUUAAAAAGCAGUUAUAUUGACAGUGGUAAUGAAAAACUGGCUGGUAGUGUAAAGAGAAACAGAACUGUUGAUGUCGUAAAGAAAAAAAAAAACGAAUGAAUGUGAUAAUAAGAAAAAAAAGCUUUAUUACAAUAUUUAUGCUUGUGGUUCAGGUUCAGGUGGUAAACUUGGAUUUAAAAAUGAAGAAAAUGUUUACUUUCCUAAAAAAGUUGUCAUUAAAAAAAAACGUCAAAAAAAAAAAAAAAAUAUUAAAUAUAGAUAGUAUAUAUUCUAGUUACAACUACAAUGGUUUAUUAACAAGUGAUGGUGUGUUGUAUACUUGGGGAUAUAAUAAAAAUAAAGAAUUAAGUCA
RNAcentral lists this long non-coding RNA (1158 nucleotides) under Piliocolobus tephrosceles (Ugandan red Colobus). RNAcentral describes it as "lncRNA (ENSPTEG00000004214.1)". Lineage: Eukaryota; Metazoa; Chordata; Mammalia; Primates; Cercopithecidae. The record is from RNAcentral.